This 64-nucleotide transfer RNA is filed under the name Anatkina vespertinula. RNAcentral's name for it is "tRNA-Val". The record is from RNAcentral. Lineage: Eukaryota; Metazoa; Arthropoda; Insecta; Hemiptera; Cicadellidae.
CAAAUUAUAGCUUAUACUAAAGCUUAUUAUUUACAUUAAUAUUAAAAUAUUUUAUUUAAUUUGA